Cucumis melo (muskmelon) is the source of this 1074-nucleotide long non-coding RNA. RefSeq lists it as uncharacterized. Lineage: Eukaryota; Viridiplantae; Streptophyta; Magnoliopsida; Cucurbitales; Cucurbitaceae. The record is from RefSeq and is a predicted model, not a curated record. The transcript is spliced from 5 exons.
GAGAAAAGGAAGAGGAAAAAAAAAAAAAAAAAACCCUAGCCGCCGGCGCCGCUCGCCGUCGCCGCCGUGUACCCGAGCCGCCCAAGCCCUCUUCUUUCUUUUCGUCAGCUCAGCCGUCACCGCCGCCGGACUCAGCCAACGCGUAAGGGAGCCCAGCCGCAGUCACGAGCCGAGCCUCCUCGUCCAUCCGGCGCCGCCACAUCGAGUCGGGAAGUUCGAAGCCGCGCUCGCCAGCCGUCGCCUUCGCGGAUCGCCGUCGCGUCUGCUAGCAGAAGCCGCGUUCGCUUCGCCGACGUUCACACGCCCAGCCGCGUCGCGCCGCUUCGAUCUGACGCAGCACAGUCGAAGCGUCCGCCUACAGCUGUCGCCGAGCGAAGCCGUGGUGUAGCCGGACCUUCCGCAGCCGUCGCGCCAUCCGAAAUCCGGAAGCCAGCGCCUCGUUGCGCGAAGACCCGACCCGGCCGAAGCCCCGCUCCUCGACUCGAAGCCCGACCCGCGCCGCGUGCACCUGGGUAGCCGAGCAGCGCCCGCGUGCGCGCCGCACGUGCGCAGCCUCUGUACUGAGCCGAGCCGCGCCUGUCUGCGCCGCGAGCCGAGCCGAUCCCAAACCUUCAAGCCGAGCCGGUCCCUGUCCUUUUUCCAGCCGAGCCGCCAAGCCUAGUUUGGCUCCUUCCAUCCAAAUUUUGGGACGUCUUGGACCAAGUAACUGCUGCAGCAUGGGAUUUCUUCAGUAGGGGCUCAAGCAUUGCAACCUCUUUCUAGGUUAGGACCUCGUUGCUUGGAAAGCACACUUGUCUUGCGGUUAGGACUCGCCAAGUAAAUCUCCAGGUAGAGGACGAGGUAAGGGCAAAGGCAAGCUGGCGAGCGACCAGAAGUGACCGUGGCGAGCCAUAGGGAUUUCUGCUUCCGCUUACUCUUGUUUUGACUGAUCUUGUAGGUUUUCGAAGAAUCCGUGGACGAUAAGAACAUGCCGAUUUAUGCUUUGGUUUUCACUAUUUUAAGUGAAUUAUAUGUGUCAUAUAUUUUAUGGUAUUACCAUUUAUGUAAUUAAUUCUUGUAAAACCUUUACUGAAG